RNAcentral lists this transfer RNA (77 nucleotides) under Oscillospiraceae bacterium. Its description in RNAcentral is "tRNA-Arg". It matches the Rfam family "tRNA". From Rfam's summary of the family: Transfer RNA (tRNA) molecules are approximately 80 nucleotides in length. Their secondary structure includes four short double-helical elements and three loops (D, anti-codon, and T loops). The record is from RNAcentral. Lineage: Bacteria; Bacillati; Bacillota; Clostridia; Eubacteriales; Oscillospiraceae.
GCGCCUUUAGCUCAGCUGGAUAGAGCAACGGCCUUCUAAGCCGUGGGUCGGGGGUUCGAGUCCCUUAAGGCGCGCCA